Molecule: ribosomal RNA, 425 nt
Filed under: uncultured bacterium
Lineage: Bacteria
Description: partial 16S ribosomal RNA
Rfam family: Bacterial small subunit ribosomal RNA
Source: RNAcentral
GUGGGGAAUCUUGCGCAAUGGGUGAAAGCCUGACGCAGCCAUGCCGCGUGAAUGAUGAAGGUCUUAGGAUUGUAAAAUUCUUUCACCGGGGACGAUAAUGACGGUACCCGGAGAAGAAGCCCCGGCUAACUUCGUGCCAGCAGCCGCGGUAAUACGAAGGGGGCUAGCGUUGCUCGGAAUUACUGGGCGUAAAGGGCGCGUAGGCGGACAGUUUAGUCAGAGGUGAAAGCCCAGGGCUCAACCUUGGCAUUGCCUUUGAUACUGGUUGUCUUGAGUACGGGAGAGGUGAGUGGAACUCCGAGUGUAGAGGUGAAAUUCGUAGAUAUUCGGAAGAACACCAGUGGCGAAGGCGACUCACUGGCCCGUUACUGACGCUGAGGCGCGAAAGCGUGGGGAGCAAACAGGAUUAGAUACCCCGGUAGUCC